Molecule: RNA transcript, 1699 nt
Organism: Ailuropoda melanoleuca (giant panda)
Lineage: Eukaryota; Metazoa; Chordata; Mammalia; Carnivora; Ursidae
Gene: CEBPZOS
Gene name: CEBPZ opposite strand
Exons: 8
Source: RefSeq, a predicted model, not a curated record
GAGCGGUGGCCUUAGCGGGUGUCUUGAUUUAGGCCCUCCAGAGCGCGGAGUGGGGCAGGUUUUUGGGGGGCCUCCCUAAAGUUCUGGAGUCAUAGGGAGGAAAGUUGGGUGUCAUUAUAUCCUUUCAGCGGGAGAGCGCGGGACAGGCCCGAGUGUUUCCGGGUCGCUCGGCGACCUUGCCGCGGCGGAGCAGUGCGGCCUGCGCUGUCCGCUGAGUUGUUUGCGAGCCGGGCGGGGGCGUCCGGGGAGCCCGGGCAGGCGGGAGAGCGCGGGGGACCGCCGGCGUGGACGGGAGACUCCGGGGCGGGGAGCCGCGAGGGCCUGAGGGUCGUGGGUAGCCAACCUGAGGCAGCUCUCGGAAGCCUCGCUGGUGCCUUGGUUCUGGACCGUGGGAACGUGGAAAAAGCGCUUUAGCUAAUUAAACCCAGGGAUGCUGAGAAACCUUGCUCUCCGUCUAGAGUGCGAGAGACGUUGCCGUUUGAUAAAUCGUUCUGCCUGCGAUGCUGAGCCCCGUGGAUUUCCAGCUGUAGUGCGCAGAUUGAGGCGUUUUCGGACGCAACGUUGAACGUUUGUGUUAAGGGAGAGUAUUGUAAACAGCACAACAGUUCUCCCUUCCCACCAACUCACCUGCCUGUUGGUUAUAUGAUGGUCCGCACCAUGGAACCAGUGGCAAAGAAGAUCUUUAAAGGAGUUUUAGUAGUUGAACUCUUGGGUGUUUUUGGAGCAUAUUUUUUGUUUAACAAGAUGAACACAAGCCAAGAUUUCAGGCAAACAAUGAGCAAGAAAUUUCCCUUCAUCUUGGAAGUUUAUUACAAAUCCAUUGAACAGUCUGGGAUGCACGGAGUCAGAGAGCAAGAUCAAGAAAAAUGGUUGAAUAGCAAAAAUUAGCAGCUUUAUACUUACCAGCAAGACUACGAAUAUCCUUCAUAAAAUGUUUUCUUUUUGGCUGCAUCACAACGCUCUCUGUGUUUUCUGGAAGGCAAACUGAAGUUUGGGGAGAUGAAAAAGUUGACCAAGAGUUCCACAACAAGUUUGAAGAAAUGGACUGGCACAUUUCUUGAUCCCCAAGGUUUAGUGUGCUCUUAUUUAUAGCUCAAAUGAAGAGGCUGCAUUUCUAAAAGGUUCACGAGAGUUUCUACAAACUGGAGUGUGUGAACAGCAUCAUCCUGAAUAAGAAGAAUCAUGGCUGCCAUCCUGUCACCUAGCGUCCCUGAUGACACAAUUGUCUUCAUCCAGGUAGAAGAAGCUCCCUUUUGGUUAUUUGUCUUAUUUUUGAAUAAGUUGAUUUCAUGCUCAUAUAAUUUUUGAGCCAAGAUUUUGUACUUAGACACAACAUCCUGAGGCUGGGGUUCCAAAGAAUAUUCACUGCUGUACUCCAGAUCAUACCAUUUGCCUCCAGGCUUGAGUAACAAUGUCUGUCUCUCAAAAAAUUCAAAGAUGUCCUGUUGUUUAUCUUUCUUAACUUUUGGUGUGACACUGUUGUUCUCAUCAGAAUGUUGUUCUGGCUUCUUCUUAUUUUUCACCUUACCGAGUGAUGCCCUUUCACUUUCCGCUGCAUUUUGCUUUUUAUUAUCUACUUUAGAUACUUCUGCUUCUUUUUUGCUGGCAUUUUCUUUUUUAGCUGGUUCAUCUUCUUCAACUAAGAAAGCUUUUGCAUACUUGGCCAAACUAAGAUUUUGAAUAAAUGCUUCCAAUUCAC